Molecule: non-coding RNA, 1076 nt
Organism: Biomphalaria pfeifferi
Lineage: Eukaryota; Metazoa; Mollusca; Gastropoda; Planorbidae
Source: the annotation of a GenBank genome assembly
UUAAAGUGGGGGGGGGGGGGGCGGGGGGCUGGGCGAGGGCUAAUCAGCAUUACACAAAUUAUAAAAGAGGUGCACAUAGGUCAAAAGUUUGGGAAACACUGAUCUAAAGGAAUGCAAGACUGAUAAACGGGUAGCAGUAGAUUGGUGCAUAGAAACGCCAUGUUCAUCUUUGGGUAGCAGGGCAUUGCUUAAAUGGAUUGCACACUCGAUCAGUGAACUCAUAACGAUGUGAUACGUUUGGUAGCACAAACAUCAGCAGUGGAUGACACCCCUGUCCAUGUCAUCAAAGCAUUGGAAUGGGGGGGGGGGGGACCACUGAGGCUCGUGACUAUUAUUGUAAUAGGACAACAUUGUAAAGGAGAAUGUUGGGUGACCUUUGAUAAGUGGGAAAAUAUUCAUUAGCUUUGUGAGGUCAGUGUCAUCUGUUACACUCAAUCAUUAGCAGUACAACAGAAAAAGAUAAGCAAUUAUUGCAUGUUGUGCAGACAUUUUUUUUUUCAAAACGAGGCAAGUGAUUUUUUACACACUUAAACAUAUUUACAUACAACUUAAAAGCUCUCACUAGUAUAAUAUCUGCCUUUAUGUUGGACCGUUGGAAAGUUCACUAGUUCAACUGUGAAACACAGCACCAGCACACAUGUCAGCCUGUGACGUUUAACUUAAUCGGUCUAAAUGCCACUACUGCAGGAGUCUUUUUUUGUUUUUGUUUUGUUUUAUCGUUGUUGCCUGCUAUCAAAAAUAUGUUCCAGUACCGCUAAGUUGUACCCCCUGCUGUUAUAAUUUUUUUUUUUUUUUUUUUGCAUUACGAUUUAAUUAAAAGUACCCAGAUUGAAAUAGACCUCAAGAUAUUUAGAUGACAAGGAUUUUUAAAAAAUCAUUUUGUUUCUCAAGAGAUUUGAAAUUCUCUUUCAUAAAAUUAAUUUUAUAUUACAGAUAAUAAAAAAUGAAAAAAAAGUCUGUAAGACAAGUCACAUAAAAAUAAAUAUGUUGCUGAGUAACCUUUAAGGAUACUAUCUCACUUAAAGGCUUACAGGCCUAUCCAUAUAAGCACGAUACUCUAUCCCUCCCCCCCCCCU